AGAGUUUGAUCCUGGCUCAGAUUGAACGCUGGCGGCGUGCCUAACACAUGCAAGUCGAGCGGUAACAGGUGUAGCAAUACAUGCUGACGAGCGGCGAACGGGUGAGUAAUGCUUUGGAAUCUUCCCAGUAGUGGGGAAUAACCAGUCGAAAGAUUGGCUAAUACCGCAUACGUCUGUAAAGGGAAAGCGGGGGCUCGUAAGACCUCCGCGCUAUUGGAUGAGCCAAAGUCGGAUUAGCUAGUUGGUGGGGUAAUGGCCUACCAAGGCGACAAUCCGUAGCUGGUCUGAGAGGACGACCAGCCACACCGGAACUGAGACACGGUCCGGACUCCUACGGGAGGCAGCAGUGGGGAAUAUUGGACAAUGGGGGACACCCUGAUCCAGCGACGCCGCGUGUGUGAAGAACGCCUGCGGGUUGUAAAGCACUUUUAGUGGGGA
RNAcentral lists this ribosomal RNA (438 nucleotides) under uncultured bacterium. RNAcentral describes it as "bacterial SSU rRNA". It matches the Rfam family "Bacterial small subunit ribosomal RNA", at positions 8 to 445 of the family's 1533-position model. The record is from RNAcentral.